GUCCACGCCCUAAACUAUGUCAACUGGUUGUUGGGGGUUUGACACUCUCAGUAACGAAGCUAACGCGUGAAGUUGACCGCCUGGGGAGUACGGCCGCAAGGUUAAAACUCAAAGGAAUUGACGGGGACCCGCACAAGCGGUGGAUUAUGUGGAUUAAUUCGAUGCAACGCGAAAAACCUUACCUACCCUUGACAUGUCCUGAAGCCUGGAGAGAUCCGGGUGUGCCCGAAAGGGAACGGGAACACAGGUGCUGCAUGGCUGUCGU
RNAcentral lists this ribosomal RNA (265 nucleotides) under uncultured bacterium. RNAcentral's name for it is "partial 16S ribosomal RNA". It matches the Rfam family "Bacterial small subunit ribosomal RNA", at positions 793 to 1055 of the family's 1533-position model. The record is from RNAcentral.